This 492-nucleotide ribosomal RNA is filed under the name uncultured bacterium. Its description in RNAcentral is "partial 16S ribosomal RNA". It matches the Rfam family "Bacterial small subunit ribosomal RNA", at positions 29 to 507 of the family's 1533-position model. The record is from RNAcentral.
AGUGAACGCUGGCGGUAGGCCUAACACAUGCAAGUCGAACGGCAGCACAGUAAGAGCUUGCUCUUACGGGUGGCGAGUGGCGGAUGGGUGAGGAAUACAUCGGAAUCUACUUUUUCGUGGGGGAUAACGUAGGGAAACUUACGCUAAUACCGCAUACGACCUACGGGUGAAAGCAGGGGAUCUUCGGACCUUGCGCGAUUGAAUGAGCCGAUGUCGGAUUAGCUAGUUGGCGGGGUAAAGGCCCACCAAGGCGACGAUCCGUAGCUGGUCUGAGAGGAUGAUCAGCCACACUGGAACUGAGACACGGUCCAGACUCCUACGGGAGGCAGCAGUGGGGAAUAUUGGACAAUGGGCGCAAGCCUGAUCCAGCCAUACUGCGUGGGUGAAGAAGGCCUUCGGGUUGUAAAGCCCUUUUGUUGGGAAAGAAAAGCAGCAGGUUAAUACCCCGCUGUUCUGACGGUACCCAAAGAAUAAGCACCGGCUAACUUCGUG